This 650-nucleotide long non-coding RNA is filed under the name Sorghum bicolor (sorghum). RNAcentral's name for it is "long non-coding RNA (SBIC_LNC017186)". The record is from RNAcentral. Lineage: Eukaryota; Viridiplantae; Streptophyta; Magnoliopsida; Poales; Poaceae.
GGCCGUGCCGUGCUUGAGCCGGGCCGAUUGUCGUGCUCCGUGCUGGGCCGCCGGCACGUGGGUUGCAUGCUCAUAUUUAACUCCCGCGUCAGCUUUUCUUAGGGCACUCCCAAUACAGACUCCACUAUGGUUUUUAUGACUAUUUAUUACUCUUUUAUUUAUUGCAUUUUGCUGAGGUUGCACCGUAUUUAUUGAAGAAAGAGAACCAGAACUGAAGAAACCGAGUCUAGCUUAGACUCGACGUCUACCCUUGCAACGAUGCUCAAGAAACCUGGUGAUCCGCGUUGGGGAAGAGUACCGUAGUUUCCAUCAAGACUCUGAGAUCUGAUGCGCCUUCAUCCCGCCGCUGAUCCGGUGCACCUUCAUCCCCUUCAUCCCGCCGCCGAUCCAAUGUGCCUUCAUCCCACCGCCGCCAUCCUUCCCGUGCGAGCCUACCCUGCUCCCGCCCGCACCUACGAUCCCUGUCCCGUGCGCGCUCUCACUCAAUCCCACCCUGUCUCGCGCCUUGCCGCCAUCUCCCGCGCGUGCUUGUGCCCUUGGCAAGAUGCCACCGCCACCACCAAACUUUUCCUCGCGCGUGCAGCUCUGCCAUCCCAUGCUCCCCCCAAUCUCCUUCCCUCUCCCACGCGUAGCCCCUCCCUCUCCCGUGC